Molecule: small nuclear RNA, 319 nt
Filed under: Erinaceus europaeus (western European hedgehog)
Lineage: Eukaryota; Metazoa; Chordata; Mammalia; Eulipotyphla; Erinaceidae
Description: 7SK RNA (ENSEEUG00000017852.1)
Rfam family: 7SK RNA
About the family: 7SK was discovered as an abundant small nuclear RNA in the mid-70s but a possible function has only recently been suggested.
Source: Rfam by way of RNAcentral
AGAUGUGAGGGCGAUCUGACUGCAACAUCUGUCACUCCAUUGAUUGCCAGGGUUGAUUUGGCUGAUCUGGCUGACCAGGCAGGUGUCCCCUUUCUCCCUCACCGCUUCAUGUACAUCCCUCCUGAAUCUACAUGCUAGGUUGAAGAGGAUGGCCUUCCCUGAAUAGAGACGGACUGGUCUUCAGUCAAAUGUAUACAAGUAGCUGCGCUCCCCUCCAAACAGGAUCUCAAGAUCCAUUUGUAGGAGAACAUAGGGUAGUCAAGCUUCCAAGACUCCAGACACAUCCAAAUGAGGCACUGCAUGUGUCAGCCUGCCUUUU